This 912-nucleotide long non-coding RNA is filed under the name Brassica rapa (field mustard). Its description in RNAcentral is "long non-coding RNA (BRAP_LNC000080)". The record is from RNAcentral. Lineage: Eukaryota; Viridiplantae; Streptophyta; Magnoliopsida; Brassicales; Brassicaceae.
GGUAACUCUAGAUCCGUCCAAAUGUUCUCCAUACUGAAUUGAUCUCUUCUUCACUUACGAUCGCCGUUUUUGUUGUUCUGGCGAGAAGGCGGCGAAACCGACUCUGAUGAUUGGCCUCGUCAAUACCGCUUUCUUCUUCAUGUAAGCUAAACUCGAUCCGAUCAGAACCCCGAUUGAUGUUAUAUUUGCUUGAUUGGUAUCAGCGUGUGGCGUUCUCAGUCCUGGAUCUCUCUCUCCUCUUGUAACGUGUUCAUUGUAUUUAAAGCUUGAUCAGCAUUGCUAUUUGCUUAUAUAUAGUGUUUGGUAACAAUGCAUUCUCAUGGAGUUGAUGAAUUAUGUUGUGACUUAUUUAUUUAACUUUUGAACAUGUGUGAGUUCUAUAUCCUGUCAUGAUGUAUCGAAGUAAAGACUCUAGCAUGUCAGUUACUGAAUCAGUAUUUUGUAGGUUCACAGAAUGUAAAAUGAUCGGUUUAGUUCAUAACUGGACAGUUGGAUUGUGUAAUUCUCGUUCUUAAGCAAUGAGCUUCAACCUCUAAGAUGGACACGUGCCCUUUAUAUUAGUUUUUCCUUGGAGUCCGGUGGUCAUAUUGGACUCUUAUUCACAGUUCGGGUAUAGAUUGAAGAAGUGAUCAAAGUGUUGUAUUUGUUCUUUCUUUCUUUCUUUCUAACUUACAUGUUACAACAUUAUUGAUGCAGCUACGAAGCUACAUCAUCUAGGAAAAACUGUAGCCUCAAGGUUUGAGCUCGCGACUGCGGCAGUAGCAGCUGUUUUCUUGGUAUGGUUUCUUUCUUCGUCCUCUGAACUUUGUAAUAGUUGUCUUAAACGCAAUUUCGUGUGGUGAAAUCAGUUUCUCUGGGUUAAAUUGCAGGGAUUUCGAUCGCUGUUUUUGCUACUUGCUAGUGGUGUUUUAU